Molecule: transfer RNA, 97 nt
Filed under: Candidatus Oleimmundimicrobium sp.
Lineage: Bacteria; Bacillati; Actinomycetota; Candidatus Aquicultoria; Candidatus Subteraquimicrobiales; Candidatus Oleimmundimicrobiaceae
Description: tRNA-Sec
Rfam family: Selenocysteine transfer RNA
Source: RNAcentral
GGGGGCGGAUUGGUCCUGGUGGGUCGCCUGGUCUUCAAAACCACGGUGGGGCGUUAAGAGCGUCCUGGGUGGGUUCGAUUCCCACACGCCCCCGCCA